GUACUGAUGAAGAGUCCCAAACUAGGAUGAAACAGCUGUCCAAUAC
Molecule: non-coding RNA, 46 nt
Filed under: Trichobilharzia regenti
Lineage: Eukaryota; Metazoa; Platyhelminthes; Trematoda; Strigeidida; Schistosomatidae
Source: RNAcentral